This 375-nucleotide ribosomal RNA is filed under the name uncultured bacterium. Its description in RNAcentral is "bacterial SSU rRNA". It matches the Rfam family "Bacterial small subunit ribosomal RNA", at positions 521 to 896 of the family's 1533-position model. The record is from RNAcentral.
UAAUACAUGUGGGGCAAGCGUUGUUCGGAAUUACUGGGCAUAAAGGGUGCGUAGGUGGUUUGUUAAGUCAGGGGUGAAAUCCCGCGGCCCAACCGUGGAACUGCCUUUGAUACUGGCGAACUUGAGUGCGUGAGGGGUAGGGGGAACGAGCAGUGUAGCGGUGAAAUGCGUAGAUAUUGCUCGGAAGGCCAGAGCCGAAGGGGCCCUACUGGUGCGCAACUGACACUGAGGCACGAAAGCGUGGGGAGCAAACAGGAUUAGAUACCCUGGUAGUCCACGCCGUAAACUAUGAGCACUAGAUGGAUGCCGAGCUAUCGGUGUCUGUCGGAGGCAAUUUGGUAAGUGCUCCGCCUGGGGAGUAUGGUCGCAAGGCUG